RNAcentral lists this ribosomal RNA (343 nucleotides) under uncultured bacterium. RNAcentral's name for it is "bacterial SSU rRNA". It matches the Rfam family "Bacterial small subunit ribosomal RNA", at positions 8 to 334 of the family's 1533-position model. The record is from RNAcentral.
AGGGUUUGAUUCUGGCUCAGGAUGAACGCUGGCGGCGUGCUUAACACAUGCAAGUCGAACGGGAAUUACUUUAUUGAAACUUCGGUCGAUUUAAUUUAAUUCUAGUGGCGGACGGGUGAGUAACGCGUGGGUAACCUGCCUUGUACAGGGGGAUAACAGUCAGAAAUGACUGCUAAUACCGCAUAAGCGCACGGAGCUGCAUGGCUCAGUGUGAAAAACUCCGGUGGUAUAAGAUGGACCCGCGUUGGAUUAGCUAGUUGGUGAGGUAACGGCCCACCAAGGCGACGAUCCAUAGCCGGCCUGAGAGGGUGAACGGCCACAUUGGGACUGAGACACGGCCCAG